CAGAAAGGCCAAAGUGCAAAUUUGGUGAAGCACCCAAACAGGUGCCGGGGCUUCUCCCGUUUAAUAGAGACGGGAGAAGA
This 80-nucleotide transfer RNA is filed under the name Cyrtodactylus linnoensis. Its description in RNAcentral is "tRNA-Cys". The record is from RNAcentral. Lineage: Eukaryota; Metazoa; Chordata; Lepidosauria; Squamata; Gekkonidae.